GAAUAUUAAAUGGCCGCGGUAUUUUUGACUGUGCAAAGGUAGCAUAAUCAUUAGAUUAUUAAUUGUAAUCUUGAAUGAAUGGUUGGACGAAAUAAUUACUGUCUCUAAAUAAUUCAUAUAAAUUGAAUUUUGAGUUAAAAUGCUUAAAUUUAAUUAUAGGACGAGAAGACCCUAUAGAUCUUUAUUUUAAAUAAGGUGAAAUUUAUUUGGUUAUUAUUUUAUUUAUUUUAUUUAAUUUUUUAUUGGGGUGAUAUUAGGAUAUUAUUAACUCUUUUUUUUAUAUUCAUGAAUGAUUGUUUAUAUGAUUUUUUAUUAUUACUUUAAGAUAUAGAUACCUUAGGGAUAACAGCGUAAUUUUUUUUGAAAGUUCUUAUUGACAAUAAAGAUUGCGACCUCGAUGUUGAAUUAAGAAUAUAAUUAGGUGUAGAUUUUUAGUUUUAUAGGUCUGUUCGACCUUUAAUUUCUUACAUGAUCUGAGUUCAAA
RNAcentral lists this ribosomal RNA (484 nucleotides) under Pseudoleosthenes irregularis. Its description in RNAcentral is "partial large subunit ribosomal RNA". The stretch from base 342 to 484 matches the Rfam family "Bacterial large subunit ribosomal RNA", at positions 2473 to 2615 of the family's 2925-position model. The record is from RNAcentral. Lineage: Eukaryota; Metazoa; Arthropoda; Insecta; Phasmatodea; Damasippoididae.